Fundulus heteroclitus (mummichog) is the source of this 1004-nucleotide long non-coding RNA. RefSeq lists it as uncharacterized. NCBI's taxonomy places the organism in Eukaryota, Metazoa, Chordata, Actinopteri, Cyprinodontiformes, Fundulidae. The transcript has 3 exons. The record is from RefSeq and is a predicted model, not a curated record.
CUUCAUGGUUCUGGGAACCAGUUCUGGUCCUGGAGCGUCCUGAGUGACCCGCUGUCUGCUGCCUCCAGGCUCCUGCAGCACGUCCCAUUAAGGGAGAGCAAGCUGACCCACUACCUGCAGGGCUUCUUCUGCAGCAGCAGCAAGGCCUGCAUGGUGGUCAACGUCAGCCAGUGUGCCUCCAUGUACCACGAGACCCUCAACGUCCUCAAGUUGUUGAGCCUUAAGUUUUGAUAUCCAAUUAGAACAUCAGUUCACUCCCAAACAUUUAGCACUGCUGUCUUUGUAAAAUGAACUGAGCAGCAAUCUAAUCACAACGGGGAAACAGCCAUUAUGUUUUUGACUCAGACGAUUCAUCAGCCUACCUUCCCUAAGAUCACCGCUGCAUGACUGAAGAACUUCCCCUGGAGCCGCAGCACCAGAGCGCUCUGAGGUCUCGGUAGAGCCGCUUGAUGUAGUCAGGAUCCAGCAGAGUGAACGCUGGACUUGCUUUGGCUUGAACGCACAUCAGCCUCCAUGAAUACCAGGUCAUCCAUGUUGCUGUUCAUUAACACCGUGCUAACUUUUCCACUGUGGAGGCUCGCCUUGGUACAUUCACAUAGCAGAGCCGUCUGCACCAAGUGACGACCCAAGAUGGUUUAAAAUGUCCUGGUGGAGGUUGUGAUCUCCAGGCUCCUCCCCGUCGUUCCUCCUGCUUCCUGCAGCAGGAAGACGCUGCAGAGCAGCAGCAGCUCCCUGACCGGCUGGGAAGCCAGUCUGGAAGACCUUCAGGGUGAAGACCAAGACUCCAGUCUGAUGGAGGACAGCAUGGAGGAGACGGCUGACAAGGUGAAGAAGUCGUCAUUAAUAAGAGGCUUCACCAGGUCAGUGGUUUUAGCUGCUCCACAUUUCUCCUGACAUGAAUCCACCUGCUGGGUUUCCUGCUGGAGGCGGCGCCACGUUUACCUUCAUUCUGACGUCAGAACCGCAGCUUCGUCCCUCCUCCUCUUCAUCAGCUGCUGCUGCAG